This is a long non-coding RNA of Chrysemys picta bellii (western painted turtle), 586 nucleotides long. RefSeq lists it as uncharacterized. The record is from RefSeq and is a predicted model, not a curated record. NCBI's taxonomy places the organism in Eukaryota, Metazoa, Chordata, Testudines, Emydidae.
GUGAAAGCCCCACUGAAAGCCAACAUCUGCAGAGCAUCAGGCAGCACCGUUCCCCCAGCUCUGCUGAAACACAUCAGGUGGCGCUGUCAACAGGGUGCCGCAGCCGCAGGAGUCUGGGAGAACUCCAUCUGGAACUAGUAACCGUUCAAAAUUUGAGCCAGCCCCUCACCACCUCCACACAGCCCAGCCUGCCUGAAAUGAAUCCAGCAGCAACCAUUGAUUUCCAUUGCUUUCCAGAGCCGGGAUAUGAUGACACCACCUCUGGGCCAGAAGAGACUACAAUCACUCACUCUGAGUCAUUACAUAAGCAGCAGCCUGUGAUUUAUUAAACCACAAAAAAUAGGUUGCACUAACAUUGAGAGUCUGACUGCAAACCAUAGAAGGAGCAACAUGCAAUGUUAAGGCUGGGACUCCCUCCUUCACCUACGCUGUGGUGUCUAGGCAUUGUGUGGGUCCUGAGGAAUUGUCCCUACUUUGGAGGCCUUUCUGAAGUGCCCCAGACAGAAAUGAGGACAGGGCUCCAGCCUUAACUGUGAUUUUUUCUUGCUUUUGUGGCAGACUUAACAAAAAGUGUUUGACCAUUUAA